This 2821-nucleotide ribosomal RNA is filed under the name Salmonella enterica subsp. enterica serovar Typhimurium. Its description in RNAcentral is "bacterial LSU rRNA". It matches the Rfam family "Bacterial large subunit ribosomal RNA". Lineage: Bacteria; Pseudomonadati; Pseudomonadota; Gammaproteobacteria; Enterobacterales; Enterobacteriaceae. The record is from RNAcentral.
GGGUUGUGAGGUUAAGCGACUAAGCGUACACGGUGGAUGCCCUGGCAGUCAGAGGCGAUGAAGGACGUGCUAAUCUGCGAUAAGCGCCGGUAAGGUGAUAUGAACCGUUAUAACCGGCGAUUUCCGAAUGGGGAAACCCAGUGUGAUUCGUCACACUAUCAUUAACUGAAUCCAUAGGUUAAUGAGGCGAACCGGGGGAACUGAAACAUCUAAGUACCCCGAGGAAAAGAAAUCAACCGAGAUUCCCCCAGUAGCGGCGAGCGAACGGGGAGGAGCCCAGAGCCUGAAUCAGCAUGUGUGUUAGUGGAAGCGUCUGGAAAGGCGCGCGAUACAGGGUGACAGCCCCGUACACAAAAGCGCAUGUGCUGUGAGCUCGAUGAGUAGGGCGGGACACGUGGUAUCCUGUCUGAAUAUGGGGGGACCAUCCUCCAAGGCUAAAUACUCCUGACUGACCGAUAGUGAACCAGUACCGUGAGGGAAAGGCGAAAAGAACCCCGGCGAGGGGAGUGAAAAAGAACCUGAAACCGUGUACGUACAAGCAGUGGGAGCNNUGACUGCGUACCUUUUGUAUAAUGGGUCAGCGACUUAUAUUCUGUAGCAAGGUUAACCGUAUAGGGGAGCCGGAGGGAAACCGAGUCUUAAUUGGGCGUUAAGUUGCAGGGUAUAGACCCGAAACCCGGUGAUCUAGCCAUGGGCAGGUUGAAGGUUGGGUAACACUAACUGGAGGACCGAACCGACUAAUGUUGAAAAAUUAGCGGAUGACCUGUGGCUGGGGGUGAAAGGCCAAUCAAACCGGGAGAUAGCUGGUUCUCCCCGAAAGCUAUUUAGGUAGCGCCUCGUGAAUUCAUCUCCGGGGGUAGAGCACUGUUUCGGCUAGGGGGCCAUCCCGGCUUACCAACCCGAUGCAAACUGCGAAUACCGGAGAAUGUUAUCACGGGAGACACACGGCGGGUGCUAACGUCCGUCGUGAAGAGGGAAACAACCCAGACCGCCAGCUAAGGUCCCAAAGUCAUGGUUAAGUGGGAAACGAUGUGGGAAGGCCCAGACAGCCAGGAUGUUGGCUUAGAAGCAGCCAUCAUUUAAAGAAAGCGUAAUAGCUCACUGGUCGAGUCGGCCUGCGCGGAAGAUGUAACGGGGCUAAACCAUGCACCGAAGCUGCGGCAGCGACGCUGGAGGUAUCAGAAGUGCGAAUGCUGACAUAAGUAACGAUAAAGCGGGUGAAAAGCCCGCUCGCCGGAAGACCAAGGGUUCCUGUCCAACGUUAAUCGGGGCAGGGUGAGUCGACCCCUAAGGCGAGGCCGAAAGGCGUAGUCGAUGGGAAACGGGUUAAUAUUCCCGUACUUGGUGUUACUGCGAAGGGGGGACGGAGAAGGCUAUGUUGGCCGGGCGACGGUUGUCCCGGUUUAAGCGUGUAGGUGUGUGUUCCAGGUAAAUCCGGUUCACUUUAACACUGAGGCGUGACGACGAGGCACUACGGUGCUGAAGCAACAAAUGCCCUGCUUCCAGGAAAAGCCUCUAAGCAUCAGGUAACAUCAAAUCGUACCCCAAACCGACACAGGUGGUCAGGUAGAGAAUACCAAGGCGCUUGAGAGAACUCGGGUGAAGGAACUAGGCAAAAUGGUGCCGUAACUUCGGGAGAAGGCACGCUGACACGUAGGUGAAGUGAUUUACUCACGGAGCUGAAGUCAGUCGAAGAUACCAGCUGGCUGCAACUGUUUAUUAAAAACACAGCACUGUGCAAACACGAAAGUGGACGUAUACGGUGUGACGCCUGCCCGGUGCCGGAAGGUUAAUUGAUGGGGUCAGCGCAAGCGAAGCUCCUGAUCGAAGCCCCGGUAAACGGCGGCCGUAACUAUAACGGUCCUAAGGUAGCGAAAUUCCUUGUCGGGUAAGUUCCGACCUGCACGAAUGGCGUAAUGAUGGCCAGGCUGUCUCCACCCGAGACUCAGUGAAAUUGAACUCGCUGUGAAGAUGCAGUGUACCCGCGGCAAGACGGAAAGACCCCGUGAACCUUUACUAUAGCUUGACACUGAACAUUGAGCCUUGAUGUGUAGGAUAGGUGGGAGGCUUUGAAGUGUGGACGCCAGUCUGCAUGGAGCCGACCUUGAAAUACCACCCUUUAAUGUUUGAUGUUCUAACGUGGACCCGUAAUCCGGGUUGCGGACAGUGUCUGGUGGGUAGUUUGACUGGGGCGGUCUCCUCCUAAAGAGUAACGGAGGAGCACGAAGGUUGGCUAAUCCUGGUCGGACAUCAGGAGGUUAGUGCAAUGGCAUAAGCCAGCUUGACUGCGAGCGUGACGGCGCGAGCAGGUGCGAAAGCAGGUCAUAGUGAUCCGGUGGUUCUGAAUGGAAGGGCCAUCGCUCAACGGAUAAAAGGUACUCCGGGGAUAACAGGCUGAUACCGCCCAAGAGUUCAUAUCGACGGCGGUGUUUGGCACCUCGAUGUCGGCUCAUCACAUCCUGGGGCUGAAGUAGGUCCCAAGGGUAUGGCUGUUCGCCAUUUAAAGUGGUACGCGAGCUGGGUUUAGAACGUCGUGAGACAGUUCGGUCCCUAUCUGCCGUGGGCGCUGGAGAACUGAGGGGGGCUGCUCCUAGUACGAGAGGACCGGAGUGGACGCAUCACUGGUGUUCGGGUUGUCAUGCCAAUGGCACUGCCCGGUAGCUAAAUGCGGAAGAGAUAAGUGCUGAAAGCAUCUAAGCACGAAACUUGCCCCGAGAUGAGUUCUCCCUGAGACUUAGAGUCUCCUGAAGGAACGUUGAAGACGACGACGUUGAUAGGCCGGGUGUGUAAGCGCAGCGAUGCGUUGAGCUAACCGGUACUA